This 420-nucleotide ribosomal RNA is filed under the name uncultured bacterium. RNAcentral's name for it is "bacterial SSU rRNA". It matches the Rfam family "Bacterial small subunit ribosomal RNA", at positions 359 to 776 of the family's 1533-position model. The record is from RNAcentral.
GAAUAUUGGACAAUGGCUGAAAAGCUGAUCCAGCCAUCCCGCGUGAAGGCAGAAGGUCCUAUGGAUUGUAAACUUCUUUUCUCUGGGAAGAAAUCCCCGUAUUCUUGCGGGGUUGACGGUACCAGAGGAAUACGCACCGGCUAACUCCGUGCCAGCAGCCGCGGUAAUACGGAGGGUGCAAGCGUUAUCCGGAUUCACUGGGGUUAAAGGGUGCGUAGGCGGGCUUGUAAGUCAGUGGUGAAAGCCCGGGGCUCAACUCCGGAACUGCCGUUGAUACUGCAAGCCUUGAGUACAGUUGAGGUGGGCGGAAUACAUCAUGUAGAGGUGAAAUUCUUAGAUAUGAUGUAGAACACCGAUUGCGAAGGCAGCUCACUAAAGUGUAACUGACGCUGAGGCACGAAAGCGUGGGGAUCAAACAGG